GCCAGGACUGCUACCCUACGGUGUCACAGAGGACCAAGGUGCCCAGGGGUGGGAUGUGGUGGGUGGCUGCGCACCCCCAAAGAAGGAAAGGCGCAGACUCACCAGCUGCU
Molecule: long non-coding RNA, 110 nt
Filed under: Bos indicus x Bos taurus (hybrid cattle)
Lineage: Eukaryota; Metazoa; Chordata; Mammalia; Artiodactyla; Bovidae
Description: lncRNA (ENSBIXG00000017093.1)
Source: RNAcentral